This 497-nucleotide ribosomal RNA is filed under the name uncultured bacterium. RNAcentral describes it as "partial 16S ribosomal RNA". It matches the Rfam family "Bacterial small subunit ribosomal RNA", at positions 28 to 507 of the family's 1533-position model. The record is from RNAcentral.
GAUGAACGCUGGCGGCGUGCCUAAUACAUGCAAGUCGAGCGAACAGACGAGGAGCUUGCUCCUCUGACGUUAGCGGCGGACGGGUGAGUAACACGUGGAUAACCUACCUAUAAGACUGGGAUAACUUCGGGAAACCGGAGCUAAUACCGGAUAUUAUAUUGAACCGCAUGGUUCAAUAGUGAAAGAGGGUUUUGCUGUCACUAAUAGAUGGAUCCGCGCCGAAUUAGCUAGUUGGUAAGGUAACGGCUUACCAAGGCAACGAUGCGUAGCCGACCUGAGAGGGUGAUCGGCCACACUGGAACUGAGACACGGUCCAGACUCCUACGGGAGGCAGCAGUAGGGAAUCUUCCGCAAUGGGCGAAAGCCUGACGGAGCAACGCCGCGUGAGUGAUGAAGGUCUUCGGAUCGUAAAACUCUGUUAUUAGGGAAGAACAAAUGUGUAAGUAACUAUGCACGUCUUGACGGUACCUAAUCAGAAAGCCACGGCUAACUACGUG